GCCUCCACACUGGGAAUAACUAAGUUGGUAGAGCAUGAGACUCUUAAAUCUCAGGGUGGUGGGUUCGAGCCCUAUGUUGGGCA
Non-coding RNA from Podarcis lilfordi (Lilford's wall lizard), 83 nucleotides. NCBI's taxonomy places the organism in Eukaryota, Metazoa, Chordata, Lepidosauria, Squamata, Lacertidae. The record is from the annotation of a GenBank genome assembly.